ACAUUCUGGAGAAGUCUGCUGUGAUAAGCAGAUGCCGAAGGUGCAAAGACGCAUCCCGCGUUUAAUCUCUCAGGCAAAAGGACAGAAUGG
RNAcentral lists this non-coding RNA (90 nucleotides) under human gut metagenome. Its description in RNAcentral is "Glycine riboswitch". It matches the Rfam family "Glycine riboswitch aptamer", at positions 7 to 88 of the family's 94-position model. Rfam says of the family: This family represents the bacterial glycine riboswitch. Glycine riboswitches usually consist of two metabolite-binding aptamers domains with similar structures in tandem. The record is from RNAcentral.